UACGUAGGGGGCUAGCGUUGUCCGGAAUCAUUGGGCGUAAAGCGCGUGUAGGCGGUCCGGUAAGUCCGCUGUGAAAGUCGGGGGCUCAACCCUGGGAUGCCGGUGGAUACUGUCGAGCUCGAGUCCGGAAGAGGCGAGUGGAAUUCCUGGUGUAGCGGUGAAAUGCGCAGAUAUCAGGAGGAACACCAAUGGCGAAGGCAGCUCGCUGGGACGUGACUGACGCUGAGACGCGAAAGCGUGGGGAGCAAACAGG
RNAcentral lists this ribosomal RNA (253 nucleotides) under uncultured bacterium. RNAcentral describes it as "partial 16S ribosomal RNA". It matches the Rfam family "Bacterial small subunit ribosomal RNA", at positions 524 to 776 of the family's 1533-position model. The record is from RNAcentral.